RNAcentral lists this ribosomal RNA (440 nucleotides) under uncultured bacterium. RNAcentral describes it as "partial 16S ribosomal RNA". It matches the Rfam family "Bacterial small subunit ribosomal RNA", at positions 338 to 795 of the family's 1533-position model. The record is from RNAcentral.
CCUACGGGUGGCAGCAGUGGGGAAUAUUGCACAAUGGGGGAAACCCUGAUGCAGCGACGCCGCGUGAGCGAUGAAGGUUUUCGGAAUGUAAAGCUCUAUCAGCAGGGAAGAAAAUGACGGUACCUGACUAGGAAGCCCCGGCUAACUACGUGCCAGCAGCCGCGGUAAUACGUAGGGGGCAAGCGUUAUCCGGAUUGACUGGGUGUAAAGGGAGCGUAGACGGGUGAGCAAGUCAGAUGUGAAAGCGCUGGGCUUAACCCCGGGACUGCAUUUGAAACUGUGUGGCUGGAGUGUAGUAGAGGCAAGCGGAAUUCCGAGUGUAGCGGUGAAAUGCGUAGAUAGUAGGAGGAACACCAGUGGCGAAGGCGGCUUGCUGGGCGGUGACUGACGUUGAGGCUCGAAAGCGUGGGGAGCAAACAGGAUUAGAUACCCCUGUAGUC